GCUCCCUUCGUCUAGUGGCCUAGGACAUCGCCCUCUCACGGCAAAAACAGGGGUUCGAGUCCCCUAGGGAGCG
RNAcentral lists this transfer RNA (73 nucleotides) under Candidatus Halobeggiatoa sp. HSG11. Its description in RNAcentral is "tRNA-Glu". It matches the Rfam family "tRNA". Rfam says of the family: Transfer RNA (tRNA) molecules are approximately 80 nucleotides in length. Their secondary structure includes four short double-helical elements and three loops (D, anti-codon, and T loops). Lineage: Bacteria; Pseudomonadati; Pseudomonadota; Gammaproteobacteria; Thiotrichales; Thiotrichaceae. The record is from RNAcentral. RNAcentral also lists the same sequence under 1 other name.